RNAcentral lists this transfer RNA (78 nucleotides) under Desulfovibrio sp. Its description in RNAcentral is "tRNA-Pro". It matches the Rfam family "tRNA". From Rfam's summary of the family: Transfer RNA (tRNA) molecules are approximately 80 nucleotides in length. Their secondary structure includes four short double-helical elements and three loops (D, anti-codon, and T loops). Lineage: Bacteria; Pseudomonadati; Thermodesulfobacteriota; Desulfovibrionia; Desulfovibrionales; Desulfovibrionaceae. RNAcentral also lists the same sequence under 2 other names. The record is from RNAcentral.
CGGGAUGUGGCUCAGUUUGGCUAGAGCGCAGCGUUCGGGACGCUGAGGCCGUGCGUUCAAAUCGCACCAUCCCGACCA